RNAcentral lists this long non-coding RNA (459 nucleotides) under Helianthus annuus (common sunflower). Its description in RNAcentral is "sRNA HanXRQr2_Chr10g0427601". Lineage: Eukaryota; Viridiplantae; Streptophyta; Magnoliopsida; Asterales; Asteraceae. The record is from RNAcentral.
UAAAUUGUUCUUUCUAACCCAUGUUAAAUGAUAUAGUUUUUCUAAUGAUUGUUAACACACUAAUUAUUUAGAGUAAAGUACAUGGACGGUCCCUGUGGUUUAUCAGAAUUUGGGUUUGGUCCCUAUCUUUCUAGAAGUACACGGAUGGUCCCUAGGGUUUGCACGUUGUAACGCAUUUAGUUCCCAGCCAACAAAUAUAAAGGUUUUAGCAUGUCCAAGUUAGGGACUAAAUGCGUUACAAAGUACAAACCACAGGGACCCUCCAUGUACUAUUGGUAAAAGUUGGGGACUAAAUGUGUUGCAAAGUGCAAACCACAAGGAUCAUCAGUGUACUUUUGGAAAGCUAGGGACCAAAUCCAAGAUUUUGGUAAACCACAGGGGCUUACCCAAUUAUUUAUAAUGUUUGGAAAAAAAAUUAAUGCGGUAAAAAAUGGAUAUCGGUCCAGGACCAAUAUUUGA